Homarus americanus (American lobster) is the source of this 674-nucleotide long non-coding RNA. RefSeq lists it as uncharacterized. The record is from RefSeq and is a predicted model, not a curated record. The transcript is spliced from 2 exons. Lineage: Eukaryota; Metazoa; Arthropoda; Malacostraca; Decapoda; Nephropidae.
UUUUAAAGUAAUAAGUGAUGUUAAAAGUUUACUUAAGGUUGAUAUAGAGGUGAGUGGAGGAAGUAGUGUGUUAGGUGAGAGAGUGAGAAUCAAGGGGUUGGGAGGAGCUCCAGAUGUUGCCUUCACUGUUUUAGUGAUCAGAUCAUAACAAACUUGUUGAUAUAUAAGCCAGCUUCAUCUACCUGCUGUUAUCAGGUGUGUCUCACCAGCCACUCAGAGUCACCAACCAAUCACCAAGCGCCUACAAUGAUGAAGAAGGAAUCACCAACCACCAGCAUCACCGGACUUGUUAACAUUUUUCUCCUGCUGCUCAUUACCAUAGGACACGUCACCUCGUCCCCAGUACCCCAGGAUGAGAACACACGCUCAGGACGUCUUAUAUUACCUGUGACAAUACCACUCACUAAUAAUGUCUUACCUGCACCAGUCCAGCCGCCGUUCAAUCUGUUUAAUCCGACUCUCAAUAUCGUGACUGCUGCAGGGACUUUUACUCCUUGUCUACCGAAUAUCCUUUGCCCCGUUUAAGACUGAGGAGGGAAGGAGACGUGUGUGUGUGUGUGUUGAGUCAGUUGUUGAGUCAGUUGUUGAGUCAGUUAUUGAGUCAGUUGUUAAGUCAGUUAUUGAGUCAAUUGGUGGGUUGUGUAACUUAAAAAUGAAAUAAAAAUUAAAAUCGA